RNAcentral lists this ribosomal RNA (1091 nucleotides) under Lindgomyces lemonweirensis. RNAcentral describes it as "eukaryotic LSU rRNA". It matches the Rfam family "Eukaryotic large subunit ribosomal RNA", at positions 22 to 1142 of the family's 3401-position model. The record is from RNAcentral. Lineage: Eukaryota; Fungi; Ascomycota; Dothideomycetes; Pleosporales; Lindgomycetaceae.
GUACCCGCUGAACUUAAGCGGAGGAAAAGAAACCAACAGGGAUUGCCCUAGUAACGGCGAGUGAAGCGGCAACAGCUCAAAUUUGAAAUCUGGUUCCUUCCGGGGCCCGAGUUGUAAUUUGUAGAGGGUGCUUUGGCGUUGGCCAUGGUCUAAGUUCCUUGGAACAGGACGUCACAGAGGGUGAGAAUCCCGUACGUGGCCGUUGGCCUUCGCCAUGUAAAGCCCCUUCGACGAGUCGAGUUGUUUGGGAAUGCAGCUCUAAAUGGGAGGUAAAUUUCUUCUAAAGCUAAAUAUUGGCCAGAGACCGAUAGCGCACAAGUAGAGUGAUCGAAAGAUGAAAAGCACUUUGGAAAGAGAGUCAAAAAGCACGUGAAAUUGUUGAAAGGGAAGCGCUUGCAGCCAGACUUGCCCGUAGUCGCUCAUCUAGGCUUCUGCCUGGUGCACUCUUCUGCGGGCAGGCCAGCAUCAGUUCAGGCGGUCGGAUAAAGGUCUUGGGAAUGUGGCUCUCUUCGGGGAGUGUUAUAGCCCAGGGCGCAAUGCGACCAGCCUGGACUGAGGUCCGCGCAUCUGCUAGGAUGCUGGCGUAAUGGCUGUAAGCGGCCCGUCUUGAAACACGGACCAAGGAGUCUAACAUCUAUGCGAGUGUUUGGGUGUCAAGCCCGAGCGCGCAAUGAAAGUAAACGGAGGUGGGAACCCGCAAGGGCGCACCAUCGACCGAUCCUGAUGUCUUCGGAUGGAUUUGAGUAAGAGCAUAGCUGUUGGGACCCGAAAGAUGGUGAACUAUGCCUGAAUAGGGUGAAGCCAGAGGAAACUCUGGUGGAGGCUCGCAGCGGUUCUGACGUGCAAAUCGAUCGUCAAAUUUGGGCAUAGGGGCGAAAGACUAAUCGAACUAUCUAGUAGCUGGUUCCUGCCGAAGUUUCCCUCAGGAUAGCAGUAACGUUUUCAGUUUUAUGAGGUAAAGCGAAUGAUUAGAGGCCUGGGGGUUGAAACAACCUUCACCUAUUCUCAAACUUUAAAUAUGUAAGAAGUCCUUGUUACUUAAUUGAACGUGGACAUUUGAAUGUACCGUUACUAGUGGGCCAUUUUUGGUA